UUUCUGUUUUCGUUUUUUAGGUUUUUUUUUAGAAAAAUGCUAUGUUGUUCUUGCUGUUGUCGUCUGUUGUUGUGUUCUUAUGUUCUUUUAGGGUUUUGAAAAAAAAUAACUUUGCCUUGCAGUUGCUGUUCUUGUUUCUUUGAAAAGAACUCUGUUGUGUUUAUGUUGUUCUUGAGGCUUUUUGAGAAAAAGUUGCUUUUAUGUUGUUGUGGUUUUGGAGUUAACAGAGAAAAAAAUUACUUUGAAAAUUUCUUCUGGAUUUCAAAAAAAACCUCCGUUACUGUUAAUUAGUUUUGUGGUUUUUAUACAUGAAUGUUGGUUUCUGUGAGAUAACUUGUUGGAUCCUAUUUCCAGAUUUUGUGGGAUGAUUAAUCUAUGGAUUUAAAGUUGUUUAUUUGGAUAAUGCAGUGUGUUUCUGAGCGCUUCCUUUGAUUCAUUGUGUGAAGUGAUGUUGAUGCUGAUUGAUUGAAAAAGGGGGUUGUUAUUCAACAGGUUUUGGAAAAGUUCUGAAGAGUUGGUUUUGAAUUGGGAACUUCCCAAAAGAGCUUUUGGAAGAGUCUGUGAAAUUUGCUUCAAACUGCUGUGUUUACAGCUUAUUCUAAUUUUUUUAAUAAAAUUAUUUCUGAUGUAACAGAGACUUUUUGGAUUAUGAAUUUAGGGAUUGCUUGUAACAUGUACAAACUUAAUUUGGAAUUUCUCUUUUUGGACAGUUAUGUAAUUGUUUUGGA
Lathyrus oleraceus (garden pea) is the source of this 728-nucleotide long non-coding RNA. RefSeq lists it as uncharacterized. The transcript is spliced from 2 exons. The record is from RefSeq and is a predicted model, not a curated record. Lineage: Eukaryota; Viridiplantae; Streptophyta; Magnoliopsida; Fabales; Fabaceae.